AUGCCAACUGGGGUCAGGCUGGCCUUUCGGCAGGCGGGGGCCUCCUUCAGGUUCUUCCGCCCGCAUUGGCGGAUCCGGGAGGGCCCAGCCGCUAAGUUUUUCCGUCCCGGGGGGGGGGGGGCGCUCCCUCCCAGCCGGCGGCCGGGGCUGGGGGAGAGCCUCCCGCCCCGGGCGCUCCCCGCCGCCGCAGCGCGGGGUGGGGUUAGCGAGGCAAACGGAGGAGAGGGAGGAGACCCGGCAGCCGAAGUCCAGGGUGGUCGUGUUUGCCCGGCACCCCGCCGGCGCCGCUCUGGACUCGGGGUGGACCAGUUUUUCAGCUGUCUGCCAGAGGACAAAGUUCCUUACCUGAACAGCCUUGGGGAAAGUUACUGGGUUCAACAACUGCUUCACCAGCUGCCCCCACAUGACAGAGGCCGGGAAAAUCUACUGUGGAUGCCACCAUGUGGAGUACCUUCCAAUGCCAAGCCUGUGAUGAAGUAUCCAAGGGGCCCAACUAGGGGACUGGCAGGGAGGCAGGGGCAUCCAGACUGGAGGAACACAGCUCCUGCCAUCUUAUUCCUCCUUUGGGAAGGAGGGAAAGAAAGACCUGGACUUGGGGGCCCCUCACCCUUCCAUCCUUCCAUUUUCCUGCCCAUCUCCUUCCCACCUCCCCAGAUCAUCUUUGUGGCAGAAUGCAUGGAGGCUGAGGGCCAUCACUGGCACCUGUGACACUUUUGCUGCUUUGACUGUGAGGGGCCUCUGGGGGGGGGGAGCGUUACGUGAUGAGGGGCAGUCGACCUCACUGUGGGGCCUGCUAUGAGGCCAGGCACACCCAGUAUUGUGACAGCAGUGGAGAGUGAAUCGGUGAGGGAGCCUCCCUGAGCCAACCUAAGCAAGGGCAAUGAGCAUCCCUUCUCAGCUUCCAUUGGGCCAUGGACCUCAGUUUACCCCAGAGCCUACAGGCUGAAUGGGCUUGGGAAGAGGGGAAGCUAUAGGGGGAGGUCCUUGCCUUAGGGAAAAGCAGAGAGGGAGGAGCUAAUAGGCCUCUAGCCCUACCAAGCCUCAUUUUUCCUGGCCCAGUUCUCACUCUGUUCUCACCCCUACCCAGGUGGGCAACACUGGCAUGCAUCUGAGAGAUGUUUCAGCUGCUGCUGCUCUGGGCAACUCCUGCUAGGUGAGCCCUUCCUGCCCAAGCAGGGGCAGAUCUUCUACUCCUGGGCCUGCAGCCUACCUGCUCCAGCAAAGGUGGCAGCAGUGGUGAUGGCCACUUACCCCAUGGCUCCUACCACGAUAGUUCUCCAGGCCAGAUCAUACUCUGGCUCCCUGGUGGGCAGAGAGUGCAGCCACUUCUGCCAUGGGGUCCCACAGCGACACUCCAUGCCUGCAUUGGGCCUCCACUGAGUGAGCCCUUUGCAGUGGCAGCCUCUACAGCCUAAUCCUCCAGCCACCUCUGCCCCUAACCCACCAGCCUCCUCAGGGGAGCUCCAUGUUAGCUUCUGGGAACCCCUGGUGGCUCAAGCCCCCCAGGAGAGGGAGCAGCCCCAGAGCCUUCCAGUCAGGCCCCAUCAGAGGAGAGGCAGCAGCCUCAGAGGCCACCUUCACAUUGUCACAGUCUCUACAUGGAGGGGGACUUGGCCUGGGUCUCCCCUUUCCUCCUCCUCUUUGGGGAGCCCAUUCCUUUGCCCCAAGCCCUUCAGAGAGCUUCUCUGGGUCCCCCCAGGGAAGGAAG
Molecule: long non-coding RNA, 1708 nt
Organism: Monodelphis domestica (gray short-tailed opossum)
Lineage: Eukaryota; Metazoa; Chordata; Mammalia; Didelphimorphia; Didelphidae
Source: Ensembl